CGCAUGUUUUUCUACAUGAU
This 20-nucleotide microRNA is filed under the name Human betaherpesvirus 5. RNAcentral describes it as "hcmv-miR-US33-3p". Lineage: Duplodnaviria; Heunggongvirae; Peploviricota; Herviviricetes; Herpesvirales; Orthoherpesviridae. The record is from RNAcentral.